CAAGCGCUGCUUACUGCUUCCGCUCUGUGCCUGCCCGCUCGCUUCCUUCCCGGCAAGCAUCGUGGGAGCUGGAGCCUUUCACACAGAAUUCAUCAGAGUUGACAGGAAGCUCUGAAAGACCAGGAGGGAUAGAGAAAAAAAAAUGGAAGCUGAACUGGGCUCCGUUCCUGAUUAGCCAGCUAGAUGCUGCAAAGAACAGCAGGGUCACCCUCUCCCUCAUGAAAUCAAAGUGACACCGUAAUAACAACCUCGUAUACAAGAUCUGGGCAUUCUGCCAACGUUUCCAUUCUGGAGGAGAUCCUCAAACUUUCAUUGGGAGGAGUCAGGCAUCUUCCUCCAGUUGGGUGAAACCAUAGCUGAUGAGAGCUCAGUGAAGGUCACUGGGAUGUACAUAUUUCCCCUAGAGACAGCAGGGGAAGUUUCUUGGAGGCUGGAAAAGUAAUAAAUUACUUCCUCUACAUUAGCAAACCUAACCUGAAGGAGUCUGAGUGCAGCAGCUAAAGGAAGCCAUUUCUUUGUGUAGGAGUACCCGUAGUCUCCUUCAAAUCCUGGGGGAUGCUGCUCCACAAGCAUCUAAUUCUAAAGCCACACAAAUAAAAAGACCUGUACUCAGAGUUCAAGA
Alligator sinensis (Chinese alligator) is the source of this 622-nucleotide long non-coding RNA. RefSeq lists it as uncharacterized. The record is from RefSeq and is a predicted model, not a curated record. The transcript has 3 exons. NCBI's taxonomy places the organism in Eukaryota, Metazoa, Chordata, Crocodylia, Alligatoridae.